GUAACAGGAAGCAGCUUGCUGCUUCGCUGACGAGUGGCGGACGGGUGAGUAAUGUCUGGGAAGCUGCCUGAUGGAGGGGGAUAACUACUGGAAACGGUAGCUAAUACCGCAUAAUGUCGCAAGACCAAAGAGGGGGACCUUCGGGCCUCUUGCCAUCGGAUGUGCCCAGAUGGGAUUAGCUUGUUGGUGGGGUAACGGCUCACCAAGGCGACGAUCCCUAGCUGGUCUGAGAGGAUGACCAGCCACACUGGAACUGAGACACGGUCCAGACUCCUACGGGAGGCAGCAGUGGGGAAUAUUGCACAAUGGGCGCAAGCCUGAUGCAGCCAUGCCGCGUGUAUGAAGAAGGCCUUCGGGUUGUAAAGUACUUUCAGCGGGGAGGAAGGGAGUAAAGUUAAUACCUUUGCUCAUUGACGUUACCCGCAGAAGAAGCACCGGCUAACUCCGUGCCAGCAGCCGCGGUAAUACGGAGGGUGCAAGCGUUAAUCGGAAUUACUGGGCGUAAAGCGCACGCAGGCGGUUUGUUAAGUCAGAUGUGAAAUCCCCGGGCUCAACCUGGGAACUGCAUCUGAUACUGGCAAGCUUGAGUCUCGUAGAGGGGGGUAGAAUUCCAGGUGUAGCGGUGAAAUGCGUAGAGAUCUGGAGGAAUACCGGUGGCGAAGGCGGCCCCUGGACGAAGACUGACGCUCAGGUGCGAAAGCGUGGGGAGCAAACAGG
Molecule: ribosomal RNA, 717 nt
Filed under: uncultured Pseudomonadota bacterium
Lineage: Bacteria; Pseudomonadati; Pseudomonadota
Description: bacterial SSU rRNA
Rfam family: Bacterial small subunit ribosomal RNA
Source: RNAcentral